RNAcentral lists this ribosomal RNA (491 nucleotides) under uncultured bacterium. Its description in RNAcentral is "bacterial SSU rRNA". It matches the Rfam family "Bacterial small subunit ribosomal RNA", at positions 28 to 534 of the family's 1533-position model. The record is from RNAcentral.
GACGAACGCUGGCGGCGUGCCUAACACAUGCAAGUCGAACGAAGAAUGUUUUUCGGAAUAUUCUUAGUGGCGGACGGGUGAGUAACGCGUGAACAAUCUGCCCCGUACAAAGGGAUAGCCUCGGGAAACCGGGAUUAAAACCAUAUAACACUUAACUGCCGCAUGGUAGUGAAGUCAAAAUCGAUUAAGAGGUAUGGGAUGAGUUCGCGUCUGAUUAGCUAGUUGGUGAGGUAAGGGCUCACCAAGGCGACGAUCAGUAGCCGGCCUGAGAGGGUGAACGGCCACACUGGAACUGAGACACGGUCCAGACUCCUACGGGAGGCAGCAGUGGGGAAUAUUGCACAAUGGAGGGAACUCUGAUGCAGCGACGCCGCGUGAGUGAAGAAGGUCUUCGGAUCGUAAAACUCUGUCCUUGGUGAAGAAAAGGACGGUAGCCAAGGAGGAAGCCCCGGCUAACUACGUGCCAGCAGCCGCGGUAAAAGUCAACGUCG